GCGAGGAGAAUCAGGGUUCGAUACCGGAGAGGGAGCCUGAGAAACGGCUACCACAUCCAAGGAAGGCAGCAGGCACGCAAAUUACCCACUCCCGGCUCGGGGAGGUAGUGACGAAAAAUAACAAUACCGGACUCUUCCGAGGCUCGGUAAUUGGAAUGGGUACACUUCAAAUCCUUUAACGAGUAUCUAUUGGAGGGCAAGUCUGGUGCCAGCAGCCGCGGUAAUUCCAGCUCCAAUAGCGUAUAUUAAAGUUGCUGCGGUUAAAAAGCUCGUAGUUGGAUCUCAGUCUCGGUCGGACGGUCCGCUUUAUAGUGGUACUGGACGAAUCGGACAUUCAGCCGCCUUUCUCAGUAUGCUCUUUACUGAGUGUAUUGGGACAGUGGCGCUUUCACUUUGAAAAAAUUAGAGUGCUCAAAGCAGGCUCACGCCUGAAUCUUCGUGCAUGGAAUGAUGGAAUAGGGCCUCGGUUCUAUUUUGUUGGUUUCCGGAACUCGAGGUAAUGAUUAAGAGGGACGGACGGGGGCAUUCGUAUUGCGACGUUAGAGGUGAAAUUCUUAGAUCGUCGCAAGACGAACUACUGCGAAAGCAUUUGCCAAGAAUGUUUUCAUUAAUCAAGAACGAAAGUCAGAGGUUCGAAGGCGAUCAGAUACCGCCCUAGUUCUGACCAUAAACGAUGCUGACUAGCGAUCCGUCGGCGUUACAACACAUGACCCGACGGGCAGCUUCCGGGAAACCAAAGUUUUUAUGUUCCGGGGGAAGUAUGCGUUGCAAAACUGGAACUUAAAGGAAUUGACGGAAGGGCACCACCAGGAGUGGAGCCUGUCGCUUAAUUUGACCCAACACGGGAAAUCUCACCAGGCCCGGACACUAGCAGGAUUGACAGAUUGAUAGCUCUUUCUUGAUUUGGUGGGUGGUGGUGCAUGGCCGUUCUUAGUUGGUGGAGUGAUUUGUCUGGUUAAUUCCGAUAACGAACGAGACCCCGUCCUACUUACUAGACCGAGGAUCCUCUCGUUCUCGCGUCUUCUUAGAGGGACAAAUGAUUUUACCUUGAACUACAUGAAAUGGGGCAAUAACAGGUCUGUGAUGCCCUUAGAUGUUCUGGGCUGCACACGCGCUACACUGAAGGGAUCAUCGUGUUAACUAGCUCGAGAGAGCUUGUCAACCCGUUGAAUUCUCUUCGUGCUAGGGAUUGAGGCUUGCAAUUGUUUCUCAUGAACGAGGAAUUCCCAGUAAGUGCAAGUCAUAAGCUUGCGCUGAUUACGUCCCUGCCCUUUGUACACACCGCCCGUCGCUACUACCGAUUGGAUGAUUUAGUGAGGACUUCGGACUGGCUGCUCGUGGGGUAAAACCUGCAAGCGGAUCGGGAAGAUGUUCAAACUGUAUCAUCUAGAGGAAGUAAAAGUCGUAACAAGGUU
RNAcentral lists this ribosomal RNA (1415 nucleotides) under metagenome. Its description in RNAcentral is "SSU rRNA". It matches the Rfam family "Eukaryotic small subunit ribosomal RNA", at positions 359 to 1801 of the family's 1831-position model. The record is from RNAcentral.